Molecule: microRNA, 21 nt
Filed under: Rosa chinensis
Lineage: Eukaryota; Viridiplantae; Streptophyta; Magnoliopsida; Rosales; Rosaceae
Description: sRNA RchiOBHm_Chr6g0289835
Source: RNAcentral
CCAAACUCUAGGCACUGGCCC